Molecule: ribosomal RNA, 495 nt
Filed under: uncultured bacterium
Lineage: Bacteria
Description: partial 16S ribosomal RNA
Rfam family: Bacterial small subunit ribosomal RNA
Source: RNAcentral
GACGAACGCUGGCGGCGUGCCUAAUACAUGCAAGUAGAACGCUGAAGGAGGAGCUUGCUUCUCCGGAUGAGUUGCGAACGGGUGAGUAACGCGUAGGUAACCUGCCUGGUAGCGGGGGAUAACUAUUGGAAACGAUAGCUAAUACCGCAUAACAGUAGAUGUUGCAUGACAUUUGCUUAAAAGGUGCAAUUGCAUCACUACCAGAUGGACCUGCGUUGUAUUAGCUAGUUGGUGAGGUAACGGCUCACCAAGGCGACGAUACAUAGCCGACCUGAGAGGGUGAUCGGCCACACUGGGACUGAGACACGGCCCAGACUCCUACGGGAGGCAGCAGUAGGGAAUCUUCGGCAAUGGACGGAAGUCUGACCGAGCAACGCCGCGUGAGUGAAGAAGGUUUUCGGAUCGUAAAGCUCUGUUGUAAGAGAAGAACGAGUGUGAGAGUGGAAAGUUCACACUGUGACGGUAUCUGACCAGAAAGGGACGGCUAACUACGUG